Molecule: non-coding RNA, 32 nt
Filed under: Mus musculus (house mouse)
Lineage: Eukaryota; Metazoa; Chordata; Mammalia; Rodentia; Muridae
Source: RNAcentral
UGCCAUAAAGAGACUUAGGGCAAUACCUUAGU